UACGAAGGGGGCUAGCGUUGCUCGGAAUCACUGGGCGUAAAGGGUGCGUAGGCGGGGCUUUAAGUCAGGGGGGAAAUCCUGGAGCUCAACUCCAGAACUGCCUUUGAUACUGAGGAUCUUGAGUUCGGGAGAGGUGAGUGGAACUGCGAGUGUAGAGGUGAAAUCCGUAGAUAUUCGCAAGAACACCAGUGGCGAAGGCGGCUCACUGGCCCGAUACUGACGCUGAGGCACGAAAGCGUGGGGAGCAAACAGG
This 253-nucleotide ribosomal RNA is filed under the name uncultured bacterium. RNAcentral describes it as "partial 16S ribosomal RNA". It matches the Rfam family "Bacterial small subunit ribosomal RNA", at positions 524 to 776 of the family's 1533-position model. The record is from RNAcentral.